AGAGAACGGGGUCGUGUCUGGCUGUAUUUUACGUGGCUGGGUGUAUUUCAGCUGAGGGAUGGGCUUGAAAGCAUCCACACAACGUAUGCUCUGGAGCAUGCCAAGACAUGACUGAGAGUUCCUGGAGUGGGAUGCCUUGGGAAGGGCUGGGACGUCUCCACCUGAGCAAGGAGAGAUCCCAGUGAGUGGACAAGGAACUUUUGAAGCUCGU
Molecule: long non-coding RNA, 211 nt
Filed under: Junco hyemalis (dark-eyed junco)
Lineage: Eukaryota; Metazoa; Chordata; Aves; Passeriformes; Passerellidae
Description: lncRNA (ENSJHYG00000010397.1)
Source: RNAcentral